This 1275-nucleotide small RNA is filed under the name Histoplasma capsulatum var. duboisii H88. RNAcentral describes it as "Histoplasma capsulatum H88 hypothetical RNA". Lineage: Eukaryota; Fungi; Ascomycota; Eurotiomycetes; Onygenales; Ajellomycetaceae. The record is from RNAcentral.
UGCCACCUAACAUAUUGUGUUGCUCUCGCUUAGAUAGUUAACAAUCACACAACCAACAUUAUCCUCGUACAAUGUUUACUACAAGAAUCUGAAAGAUGAUUGUGAGUGUCUCUGAUCUUUACUGAAUUCUAAGAAUAUUGAAGAAGGCAAACGUCUUUUUCCUUCCAUUAUAUCCUAUAUUCAUCUAUCAACAGACUACCACGCCUUGUCAUGAGAUGUAGAAAGUAGGGAAACAAAGCAAUAUCAAAGAAAAUAUUGUUGUCUUCCUUACCAUUGGAAAAAAAACAAAAAAAAAAGCCUCUCUUUACCUGUAAAAUAGUUUGUUUUCGAUACCUGGAAUAUUCAGUCAGAAAUAUUACAUCUCCGGACGGCGGCUUAAGUUCAUUAAGAGAGAUAAACAUACAACUUGGAAUCCAAGGAGGUCCCCCUAUUUGAACAAAAAAAGGCUCAUCAGAUAGAGUCCAUCCAACUCUCAAGUCAGUUGUUAAGACCCUACACGCUACAAAUCCCUCCAUUAAGUAGAAAGGGAAAAAGAGAAAAGGCAUGUGCGAGGACGUCACGGAAGUAUACGAAUUCUGUCGCCACCUCGGUAAAUCCUAUGUACGCCCUUGUUCAAAAGGUUCGCAGUGCGAUGAACUCGUCUCCGUCGACCUGAUCAUCAUGUCCUUUUGCCCAUGCUGUUUCCAGAUGGGGGUUUUGGUUGGGGCUGGGCAAUAAAGCUGUGAUGGAAGGGCGGUGGUGGAGAUGGAGAUCUGUUAGGGUCAAAGGUAGGAUUGUGUAGCAGCGGGUGGCGCACACGUUGAUUUUAAAGGCCAUGGUGAAAAUCCGCUGGCGCCGUUUGCGGGUUGUGGGGAUCACACUAUAACUGCGUAUGGCCUACGUCUGGCAAAGAAGUGUAUCAGAUCUCAUUUUUUAAACGAAGGCAACAUGGGUACAUUAGAUCAGGAAUAUCAGGAGCGCAUACUUAUGAUUUGACGGAAUUUCAGAAAUUAAUUGUAUCGAGCAGGCCAGUUGUUCUGCAGAAAUUCCAACGGCUCUUCCAACGACAGCGUGGCCAUGGAGUGGUUUUUAUCAAAUGAAUGCGCGCCAGCGUGAAACGCUAAGUGCAGUGGGACGUCCGGCUUCAUCUUCCUGAGUUUCGCGGCUCACUCCUCGGUAAAUUGCCAGGAGUCAACAUAUUUCUUUUGUUAGCAAUGAAUGGAAUUUCGCGCGUUUCUACAUGUAUUCUCGGAGACAGAAGAUAAAUAAUAAAAUAAUAAAUAUCCAAUACCUACC